This 368-nucleotide ribosomal RNA is filed under the name uncultured organism. Its description in RNAcentral is "bacterial SSU rRNA". It matches the Rfam family "Bacterial small subunit ribosomal RNA", at positions 526 to 896 of the family's 1533-position model. The record is from RNAcentral.
CGAAGGACCCGAGCGUUAUCCGGAUUUAUUGGGUUUAAAGGGUGCGUAGGCGGAUUAUUAAGUCAGUGGUGAAAGCCUACAGCUUAACUGUAGAACUGCCAUUGAUACUGAUGAUCUUGAGUAUGAUUGAGGUGGGCGGAAUGUGUCAUGUAGCGGUGAAAUGCUUAGAUAUGACACAGAACACCGAUUGCGAAGGCAGCUCACUAAGCCAUAACUGACGCUGAUGCACGAAAGCGUGGGGAGCAAACAGGAUUAGAUACCCUGGUAGUCCACGCCCUAAACGAUGAUCACUCGAUGUGUGCGAUACACUGUACGCGUCUGAGCGAAAGCAUUAAGUGAUCCACCUGGGGAGUACGACCGCAAGGUUG